Molecule: small nuclear RNA, 107 nt
Organism: Otolemur garnettii (small-eared galago)
Lineage: Eukaryota; Metazoa; Chordata; Mammalia; Primates; Galagidae
Source: Ensembl
GUGCUUGCUUUGGCAGCACAUAUACUAAAAUUGGAAAGAUACAGAGAAGAUUAGCAUGGCCCCUGCACAAGGAUGACACACAAAUUCAUGAAGCAUUCCAUAUUUUU